This 1281-nucleotide ribosomal RNA is filed under the name metagenome. RNAcentral describes it as "bacterial LSU rRNA". It matches the Rfam family "Bacterial large subunit ribosomal RNA", at positions 1620 to 2887 of the family's 2925-position model. The record is from RNAcentral.
ACUAAGCUUCAGCUUGUAUGAGACCGUACCGCAAACCGACACAGGUGGGCAGGAUGAAAAUUCUAAGGCGCUUGAGAGAACCCAGGAGAAGGAACUCGGCAAAUUAACACCGUAACUUCGGGAGAAGGUGUGCCCCGGUAGCGUGUAGAGACUUGCUCUUGAAGCGCGAUGGGGUUGCAGUGAAAUGGUGGCUGCGACUGUUUAAUAAAAACACAGCACUCUGCAAACACGGAAGUGGACGUAUAGGGUGUGACGCCUGCCCGGUGCCGGAAGGUUAAGUGAUGGGGUGCAAGCUCUUGAUCGAAGCCCCGGUAAACGGCGGCCGUAACAAUAACGGUCCUAAGGUAGCGAAAUUCCUUGUCGGGUAAGUUCCGACCUGCACGAAUGGCGUAACGAUGGCCACACUGUCUCCUCCUGGGACUCAGCGAAGUUGAAAUGUUUGUGAAGAUGCAAUCUCCCCGCGGCAAGACGGAAAGACCCCAUGAACCUUUACUGUAGCUUUGCAUUGGACUUUGAACCGGUUUGUGUAGGAUAGGUGGGAGACUGUGAAGCCGGGACGCUAGUUUCGGUGGAGUCAACCUUGAAAUACCACCCUGAUUUGUUUGAGGUUCUAACCUUGGUCCGUGAAUCCGGAUCGGGGACCGUGCAUGGUAGGCAGUUUGACUGGGGCGGUCUCCUCCCAAAAGGUAACGGAGGAGUACGAAGGUACGCUUAGGGCGGUCGGACAUCGCCCACAAAGUGCAAUGGCAAAAGCGUGCUUGACUUCGAGACCCACAAGUCGAGCAGGUACGAAAGUAGGUCAUAGUGAUCCGGUGGUUCUGUAUGGAAGGGCCAUCGCUCAACGGAUAAAAGGUACUCUGGGGAUAACAGGCUAAUUCCUCCCAAGAGUUCAUAUCGACGGGGGAGUUUGGCACCUCGAUGUCGGCUCAUCACAUCCUGGGGCUGUAGUCGGUCCCAAGGGUAUGGCUGUUCGCCAUUUAAAGUGGUACGCGAGCUGGGUUUAAAACGUCGUGAGACAGUUUGGUCCCUAUCUGCCGUGGGCGCUGGAAAUUUGAAGGGGGCUGCUCCUAGUACGAGAGGACCGGAGUGGACGAACCUCUGGUGUACCGGUUAUGACGCCAGUCGUAUUGCCGGGUAGCUAAGUUCGGAAGAGAUAAACGCUGAAAGCAUCUAAGCGUGAAACUCGCCUUAAGAUAAGAUUUCCCGGAGUCUUGAACUCCCUGAAGGGUCGUCGAAGACCACGACGUUGAUAGGUCAGGUGUGGAAGCGCAGUAAUGCGUU